Molecule: ribosomal RNA, 253 nt
Filed under: uncultured bacterium
Lineage: Bacteria
Description: partial 16S ribosomal RNA
Rfam family: Bacterial small subunit ribosomal RNA
Source: RNAcentral
UACGUAGGUGGCAAGCGUUAUCCGGAUUUACUGGGUGUAAAGGGCGUGUAGGCGGGGACGCAAGUCAGAUGUGAAAACCACGGGCUCAACCUGUGGCCUGCAUUUGAAACUGUGUUUCUUGAGUACUGGAGAGGCAGACGGAAUUCCUAGUGUAGCGGUGAAAUGCGUAGAUAUUAGGAGGAACACCAGUGGCGAAGGCGGCCUGCUGGACAGCAACUGACGCUGAGGCGCGAAAGCGUGGGGAGCAAACAGG